UACGAAGGGUGCAACCGUUGCUCGGAAUUAUUGGGCGUAACGCGCACGUAGGCGGCUUAGCAAGUUGGAUGUGAAAUCCCUCGGCUCAACCAAGGAAGUGCAUCCAAAACUGCUGAGCUUGAGUACUUAAGAGGAUCGCGGAAUUCCCGGUGUAGAGGUGAAAUUCGUAGAUAUCGGGAGGAACACCAGUGGCGAAGGCGGCGAUCUGGGAAGAUACUGACGCUGAGGUGCGAAAGCGUGGGGAGCAAACGGG
This 253-nucleotide ribosomal RNA is filed under the name uncultured bacterium. RNAcentral describes it as "partial 16S ribosomal RNA". It matches the Rfam family "Bacterial small subunit ribosomal RNA", at positions 524 to 776 of the family's 1533-position model. The record is from RNAcentral.